Molecule: ribosomal RNA, 510 nt
Filed under: uncultured bacterium
Lineage: Bacteria
Description: partial 16S ribosomal RNA
Rfam family: Bacterial small subunit ribosomal RNA
Source: RNAcentral
GACGAACGCUGGCGGCGUGCUUAACACAUGCAAGUCGAACGAAAAGCGAUGGAAGCUUGCUUCUAUCAAUCUUAGUGGCGAACGGGUGAGUAACGCGUAAUCAACCUGCCCUUCAGAGGGGGACAACAGUUGGAAACGACUGCUAAUACCGCAUACGAUCUAAUCUCGGCAUCGAGGAUAGAUGAAAGGUGGCCUCUACAUGUAAGCUAUCACUGAAGGAGGGGAUUGCGUAUGAUUAGCUAGUAGGAGGGGUAACGGCCCACCAAGGCGAUGAUCAGUAGUCGGUCAGUGCGGAUGGACGGCCACAUUGAAUCUGUGACACUGCCCAGACUUCUACGGGAGGCAGCAGUGGGGAGUCUUCCGCAAUGGAUGCUAGUCUGACGGGGCAACGCCGCCUGCGUGAUUACGGCCGUCGUGUUGUAAAGCUCUGUUAAUCGGGACGAAAGGCCUUCUUGCGAAUAGUGAGAAGGAUUGACGGUACCGGAAUAGAAAGCCACGGCUAAGUACGUG